UAUUCUGCCCCAUGGGGAAGGAUGAGAAGCUUCGACUAAGGUUCGACUCGAGCGCAGCGAGAGAACGUUGCCGCAGGCAAGGCCCGAAGGGCGAGGCGCUUUAGCGCCGAGUAAUCCUUCCCCCACCACUG
Molecule: small RNA, 131 nt
Filed under: Klebsiella pneumoniae
Lineage: Bacteria; Pseudomonadati; Pseudomonadota; Gammaproteobacteria; Enterobacterales; Enterobacteriaceae
Description: RtT sRNA
Rfam family: RtT RNA
About the family: This family represents a bacterial cis-regulatory element known as RtT RNA. The exact function of RtT is unknown although it is thought that it may be involved in changing the cellular response in relation to amino acid starvation.
Source: RNAcentral